UACGUAGGGUGCGAGCGUUAAUCGGAAUUACUGGGCGUAAAGUGUGCGCAGGCGGCCGCGCAAGUCGAGUGUGAAAGCCCCGAGCUUAACUUGGGAAUUGCGCUCGAAACUACGUGGCAGGAGUGUGGCAGAGGAAGGUGGAAUUCCAGGUGUAGCGGUGAAAUGCGUAGAGAUCUGGAGGAACACCGAUGGCGAAGGCAGCCUUCUGGGCCAACACUGACGCUCAUGCACGAAAGCGUGGGGAGCAAACAGG
RNAcentral lists this ribosomal RNA (253 nucleotides) under uncultured bacterium. Its description in RNAcentral is "partial 16S ribosomal RNA". It matches the Rfam family "Bacterial small subunit ribosomal RNA", at positions 524 to 776 of the family's 1533-position model. The record is from RNAcentral.